RNAcentral lists this ribosomal RNA (253 nucleotides) under uncultured bacterium. Its description in RNAcentral is "partial 16S ribosomal RNA". It matches the Rfam family "Bacterial small subunit ribosomal RNA", at positions 524 to 776 of the family's 1533-position model. The record is from RNAcentral.
UACGGAGGGUGCAAGCGUUAUCCGGAUUCACUGGGUUUAAAGGGUGCGUAGGCGGGCAGGUAAGUCAGUGGUGAAAUCUUCAAGCUCAACUUGGAAACUGCCAUUGAUACUAUUUGUCUUGAAUAUUGUGGAGGUAAGCGGAAUAUGUCAUGUAGCGGUGAAAUGCUUAGAUAUGACAUAGAACACCGAUUGCGUAGGCAGCUUGCUACACAAAUAUUGACGCUGAGGCACGAAAGCGUGGGGAUCAAACAGG